RNAcentral lists this unclassified non-coding RNA (595 nucleotides) under Hevea brasiliensis (rubber tree). Lineage: Eukaryota; Viridiplantae; Streptophyta; Magnoliopsida; Malpighiales; Euphorbiaceae. The record is from RNAcentral.
UGAUUCUUCACACUCAAUAAAACAAUCAGGUACAGCACAUGACAUUCUUUCUCUGCCAAUUGAAAGGAUCCAUGAGGUCAGGUUUGUAGAGCAGCCGUUCUCCACCACAGAGUCCAGAUAACAUUCCCUCAAAGCCACUGAAAUUCUCAUUCAAUUUUUUGCGAUGAAUGUUCUUGAAUUCAAUAAGAGUUUGUAGAGUUAACAAGCUGUCAGGUCCAGCUUGGUGACUAUUUCCAGCAAUUCGGUUAACACCCAGUAACUUGGAUACCCUUUCCAAUCCACCGUGCAAGCCAUGAACAGAAGUUAUAUAUUUAAUGUCAUAAACUGCAACUCCCAAGUAGAACUUCAUUAGCCCCAUAAAAGAUUGAAGAUUACGGGGCAACUCUUGUUGUGUUAAAAUCUUAAUGAAGAAAGCCAAAUCAUAAGCACCAUGGAAAGUAAUCCAAGUGAAGGAAUAGUUGAAAAUAAGGCCAGAACUAAGAACCAACUUGGCAAAAUCCCUAGAAUCAAUACCCUUUUCUCUAUGCAUCUUGAAAUUAGUUCCUUGUUUUUCAAGUAAGCGAAUGGACUCAACAUUAUGGGGAUCACUCUGGAG